Molecule: ribosomal RNA, 451 nt
Filed under: uncultured bacterium
Lineage: Bacteria
Description: bacterial SSU rRNA
Rfam family: Bacterial small subunit ribosomal RNA
Source: RNAcentral
AGCGAACGCUGGCGGCAGGCUUAACACAUGCAAGUCGAACGGGCGUAGCAAUACGUCAGUGGCAGACGGGUGAGUAACGCGUGGGAACGUACCUUUUGGUUCGGAACAACCCAGGGAAACUUGGGCUAAUACCGGAUAAGCCCUUACGGGGAAAGAUUUAUUGCCGAAGGAACGGCCCGCGUCCGAUUAGCUAGUUGGUGAGGUAAUGGCUCACCAAGGCAACGAUCGGUAGCUGGUCUGAGAGGANGACCAGCAUCACUGGGACUGAGACACGGCCCAGACUCCUACGGGAGGCAGCAGUGGGGAAUAUUGGACAAUGGGCGCAAGCCUGAUCCAGCCAUGCCGCGUGGAUGAUGAAGGCCUUAGGGUUGUAAAGUCCUUUUAACGGGAAGAUAAUGACGGUACCCGUAGAAUAAGCCCCGGCUAACUUCGUGCCAGCAGCCGCCGUAAC